UACAGAGGUCUCAAGCGUUGUUCGGAUUCAUUGGGCGUAAAGAGCGCGUAGGCGGCCCUGUAAGUCCGCUGUGAAAGUCAAGGGCUCAACCCUUGAAUGCCGGUGGAUACUGGAGAGCUAGAGUCCGGAAGAGGUGAGUGGAACUGCGAGUGUAGAGGUGAAAUUCGUAGAUAUUCGCAAGAACACCAGUGGCGAAGGCGGCUCACUGGUCCGGUACUGACGCUGAGGUGCGAAAGCGUGGGGAGCAAACAGG
RNAcentral lists this ribosomal RNA (253 nucleotides) under uncultured bacterium. RNAcentral describes it as "partial 16S ribosomal RNA". It matches the Rfam family "Bacterial small subunit ribosomal RNA", at positions 524 to 776 of the family's 1533-position model. The record is from RNAcentral.